AGUGAACGCUGGCGGUAGGCCUAACACAUGCAAGUCGAACGGCAGCACGGUAAGAGCUUGCUCUUACGGGUGGCGAGUGGCGGACGGGUGAGGCAUACAUCGGAAUCUACUUUUUCGUGGGGGAUAACGUAGGGAAACUUACGCUAAUACCGCAUACGACCUACGGGUGAAAGCAGGGGAUCUUCGGACCUUGCGCGCUUGACUGAGCCGAUGUCGGAUUAGCUAGUUGGCGGGGUAAAGGCCCACCAAGGCGACGAUCCGUAGCUGGUCUGAGAGGAUGAUCAGCCACACUGGAACUGAGACACGGUCCAGACUCCUACGGGAGGCAGCAGUGGGGAAUAUUGGACAAUGGGCGCAAGCCUGAUCCAGCCAUACCGCGUGGGUGAAGAAGGCCUUCGGGUUGUAAAGCCCUUUUGUUGGGAAAGAAAAGCAGCAGGUUAAUACCCCGCUGUUCUGACGGUACCCAAAGAAUAAGCACCGGCUAACUUCGUG
This 492-nucleotide ribosomal RNA is filed under the name uncultured bacterium. RNAcentral's name for it is "partial 16S ribosomal RNA". It matches the Rfam family "Bacterial small subunit ribosomal RNA", at positions 29 to 507 of the family's 1533-position model. The record is from RNAcentral.